Molecule: ribosomal RNA, 450 nt
Filed under: uncultured bacterium
Lineage: Bacteria
Description: partial 16S ribosomal RNA
Rfam family: Bacterial small subunit ribosomal RNA
Source: RNAcentral
GUGGGGAAUCUUCCGCAAUGGACGAAAGUCUGACGGAGCAACGCCGCGUGAGUGAAGAAGGUUUUCGGAUCGUAAAGCUCUGUUGUUUAGGACGAAAGUGCCUGUUGCAAAUAGUUACAGGUAUUGACGGUACUGAACGAGGAAGCCACGGCUAACUACGUGCCAGCAGCCGCGGUAAUACGUAGGUGGCAAGCGUUGUCCGGAAUUAUUGGGCGUAAAGAGCAUGUAGGCGGGAAUCUAAGUCUGUUGUGAAAAUGCGGGGCUCAACCCCGUAUUGCGAUGGAAACUGGGUUUCUUGAGUGCAGGAGAGGAAAGGGGAAUUCCCAGUGUAGCGGUGAAAUGCGUAGAUAUUGGGAGGAACACCAGUGGCGAAGGCGCCUUUCUGGACUGUGUCUGACGCUGAGAUGCGAAAGCCAGGGUAGCGAACGGGAUUAGAUACCCCUGUAGUCC